RNAcentral lists this ribosomal RNA (477 nucleotides) under uncultured organism. RNAcentral describes it as "partial 16S ribosomal RNA". It matches the Rfam family "Bacterial small subunit ribosomal RNA", at positions 333 to 801 of the family's 1533-position model. The record is from RNAcentral.
ACACUCCUGCGGGAGGCAGCAGUGGGGAAUAUUGCACAAUGGGCGCAAGCCUGAUGCAGCCAUGCCGCGUGUAUGAAGAAGGCCUUCGGGUUGUAAAGUACUUUCAGCGGGGAGGAAGGCGAUAAGGUUAAUAACCUUGUCGAUUGACGUUACCCGCAGAAGAAGCACCGGCUAACUCCGUGCCAGCAGCCGCGGUAAUACGGAGGGUGCAAGCGUUAAUCGGAAUUACUGGGCGUAAAGCGCACGCAGGCGGUCUGUCAAGUCGGAUGUGAAAUCCCCGGGCUCAACCUGGGAACUGCAUUCGAAACUGGCAGGCUAGAGUCUUGUAGAGGGGGGUAGAAUUCCAGGUGUAGCGGUGAAAUGCGUAGAGAUCUGGAGGAAUACCGGUGGCGAAGGCGGCCCCCUGGACAAAGACUGACGCUCAGGUGCGAAAGCGUGUGGAGCAAACAGGAUUAGAAACCCCGGUAGUCCCAUGAU